AAAGACAAUUAAAAGCUCUUACCAAUAUUAAAGACUUUUUUGUUUAAUUCAAAAUGAACGUCAAAAUAGGAAUCAGCACGUCAAAAUUGACAAGGAGAGGGCAUGUCAAAUUUUUUGCUGAGGUGGUGCUGAUGUGAUCGACUGACCUGGCACUGAGCUGGAUGACGUGAAUGAUGACUUUGCACAAGAUGUUGAUAAAAUUGUUGAUGAUGUCAGCAAGGUAUGGACCACGAUCAGGUGGAACACAGCAGACAGUUGCUGUUGUGAGCUUGGAUGUCUUUGCUUUGGAUCUUUGAUCCGACCCAUCAGGUUUGGGCUACUGGGGCCUCGGAUUGAAGUUCCAACAGUGGUAAAGGGAUGGCCAGUGAACAGCAAGGCCUGAAGACCUUCAAACACUGAAUUUUGCUAGAUUCCGGUCGUGAUGCAAUUCAGGUCAAUAUCCUACUCGAUGGGAUUUCCAUCACUGUUCAAUGCCUGAUGGACAGACUGGCACCAGAAUGGUUGCAUGGUGUCGAUCCUUAGUUAGGCAUAGGUGGCACAGUGAUCUAUUGAUGGGAGAUUGGUGGGUGUUG
This 572-nucleotide unclassified non-coding RNA is filed under the name Hevea brasiliensis (rubber tree). Lineage: Eukaryota; Viridiplantae; Streptophyta; Magnoliopsida; Malpighiales; Euphorbiaceae. The record is from RNAcentral.